GCUCUAGUGGUGUAGUGGUCAACACGUCAGCAGAAUGCAGAGAGGAAAGAGAAGGCUCAAUCAGCGCCGAAUAGGCGCUGUUGCAAAACCUCUAUAGUCCUGGUUUCAACAACAGCUGUAGACCUGGGUUCGAUUCCCAGCUGGGGCA
Molecule: transfer RNA, 148 nt
Filed under: Ramalina farinacea
Lineage: Eukaryota; Fungi; Ascomycota; Lecanoromycetes; Lecanorales; Ramalinaceae
Rfam family: tRNA
About the family: Transfer RNA (tRNA) molecules are approximately 80 nucleotides in length. Their secondary structure includes four short double-helical elements and three loops (D, anti-codon, and T loops).
Source: Rfam by way of RNAcentral